RNAcentral lists this ribosomal RNA (430 nucleotides) under uncultured bacterium. RNAcentral's name for it is "bacterial SSU rRNA". It matches the Rfam family "Bacterial small subunit ribosomal RNA", at positions 355 to 776 of the family's 1533-position model. The record is from RNAcentral.
UCGAGAGGCUUUGGCAAUGGGGGAAACCCUGACCAAGCGACGCCGCGUGGAGGAUGAAGGCCCUUGGGUUGUAAACUCCUUUUGCUAGGGAAGAAAUGCGAUCAGGUGAACAAUCUGGUCGUUUGACGGUACCUGGCGAAUAAGCUCCGGCUAACUCCGUGCCAGCAGCCGCGGUAACACGGGGGGAGCAAGCGUUGUUCGGAAUUACUGGGCGUAAAGGGCGUGUAGGCGGUCAGGUAAGUGGGACGUGAAAUCCCUCGGCUCACCCGAGGACCUGCAUCCCAAACUGCCUGACUUGAGUAUGGGAGAGGAUGAGGGAAUUCCUGGUGUAGCGGUGAAAUGCGUAGAUAUCAGGAGGAACACCGGUGGCGAAGGCGCUCAUCUGGCCCAAUACUGACGCUGAGGCGCGAAAGCUAGGGUAGCGAACGGG